This 1420-nucleotide ribosomal RNA is filed under the name Chinaberry witches'-broom phytoplasma. RNAcentral's name for it is "bacterial SSU rRNA". It matches the Rfam family "Bacterial small subunit ribosomal RNA". The record is from RNAcentral. Lineage: Bacteria; Bacillati; Mycoplasmatota; Mollicutes; Acholeplasmatales; Acholeplasmataceae.
ACGGAAGUUUAAGCAAUUAAACUUUAGUGGCGAACGGGUGAGUAACGCGUAAGCAAUCUGCCCCUAAGACGAGGAUAACAGUUGGAAACGACUGCUAAGACUGGAUAGGAGACAAGAAGGCAUCUUCUUGUUUUUAAAAGACCUAGCAAUAGGUAUGCUUAGGGAGGAGCUUGCGUCACAUUAGUUAGUUGGUGGGGUAAAGGCCUACCAAGACUAUGAUGUGUAGCCGGGCUGAGAGGUUGAACGGCCACAUUGGGACUGAGACACGGCCCAAACUCCUACGGGAGGCAGCAGUAGGGAAUUUUCGGCAAUGGAGGAAACUCUGACCGAGCAACGCCGCGUGAACGAUGAAGUAUUUCGGUACGUAAAGUUCUUUUAUUAGGGAAGAAUAAAUGAUGGAAAAAUCAUUCUGACGGUACCUAAUGAAUAAGCCCCGGCUAACUAUGUGCCAGCAGCCGCGGUAAUACAUAGGGGGCAAGCGUUAUCCGGAAUUAUUGGGCGUAAAGGGUGCGUAGGCGGUUAAAUAAGUUUAUGGUCUAAGUGCAAUGCUCAACAUUGUGAUGCUAUAAAAACUGUUUAGCUAGAGUAAGAUAGAGGCAAGUGGAAUUCCAUGUGUAGUGGUAAAAUGCGUAAAUAUAUGGAGGAACACCAGUAGCGAAGGCGGCUUGCUGGGUCUUUACUGACGCUGAGGCACGAAAGCGUGGGGAGCAAACAGGAUUAGAUACCCUGGUAGUCCACGCCGUAAACGAUGAGUACUAAACGUUGGGUAAAACCAGUGUUGAAGUUAACACAUUAAGUACUCCGCCUGAGUAGUACGUACGCAAGUAUGAAACUUAAAGGAAUUGACGGGACUCCGCACAAGCGGUGGAUCAUGUUGUUUAAUUCGAAGGUACCCGAAAAACCUCACCAGGUCUUGACAUGCUUCUGCAAAGCUGUAGAAACACAGUGGAGGUUAUCAGUUGCACAGGUGGUGCAUGGUUGUCGUCAGCUCGUGUCGUGAGAUGUUGGGUUAAGUCCCGCAACGAGCGCAACCCUUAUUGUUAGUUACCAGCACGUAAUGGUGGGGACUUUAGCAAGACUGCCAGUGAUAAAUUGGAGGAAGGUGGGGACGACGUCAAAUCAUCAUGCCCCUUAUGACCUGGGCUACAAACGUGAUACAAUGGCUGUUACAAAGGGUAGCUGAAGCGCAAGUUUUUGGCGAAUCUCAAAAAAACAGUCUCAGUUCGGAUUGAAGUCUGCAACUCGACUUCAUGAAGUUGGAAUCGCUAGUAAUCGCGAAUCAGCAUGUCGCGGUGAAUACGUUCUCGGGGUUUGUACACACCGCCCGUCAAACCACGAAAGUUGGCAAUACCCAAAGCCGGUGGCCUAACUUCGCAAGAAGAGGGAACCGUCUAAGGUAGGGUUGAUGAUUGGGGUUAAG